Molecule: ribosomal RNA, 290 nt
Filed under: Salmonella enterica subsp. enterica serovar Agona
Lineage: Bacteria; Pseudomonadati; Pseudomonadota; Gammaproteobacteria; Enterobacterales; Enterobacteriaceae
Description: partial 16S ribosomal RNA
Rfam family: Bacterial small subunit ribosomal RNA
Source: RNAcentral
AAAUUGAAGAGUUUGAUCAUGGCUCAGAUUGAACGCUGGCGGCAGGCCUAACACAUGCAAGUCGAACGGUAGCACAGAGAGCUUGCUCUCGGGUGACGAGUGGCGGACGGGUGAGUAAUGUCUGGGAAACUGCCUGAUGGAGGGGGAUAACUACUGGAAACGGUGGCUAAUACCGCAUAACGUCGCAAGACCAAAGAGGGGGACCUUCGGGCCUCUUGCCAUCAGAUGUGCCCAGAUGGGAUUAGCUGGUUGGUGAGGUAACGGCUCACCAAGGCGACGAUCCCUAGCUG